CCUACGGGAGGCAGCAGUGAGGAAUAUUGGUCAAUGGGCGCAAGCCUGAACCAGCCAAGUCGCGUGAGGGAUGACGGUCCUAUGGAUUGUAAACCUCUUUUGUCGGGGAGCAAGGCCGUCCACGUGUGGGGUGAAGGAGCGUACCUGAAUAAAAAGCAUCGGCUAACUCCGUGCCAGCAGCCGCGGUAAUACGGAGGAUGCGAGCGUUAUCCGGAUUUAUUGGGUUUAAAGGGUGCGUAGGCGGAAGGUUAAGUCAGCGGUAAAAUGUCGGGGCUCAACAGCGGCCUGCCGUUGAAACUGGUCUUCUUGAGUGAGCGAGAGGUAUGCGGAAUGCGUGGUGUAGCGGUGAAAUGCAUAGAUAUAACGAAGAACUCCGAUUGCGAAGGCAGCAUACCGGCGCUCAACUGACGCUGAGGCACGAAAGCGUGGGGAUCGAACAGGAUUAGAUACCCCAGUAGUC
Molecule: ribosomal RNA, 460 nt
Filed under: uncultured bacterium
Lineage: Bacteria
Description: partial 16S ribosomal RNA
Rfam family: Bacterial small subunit ribosomal RNA
Source: RNAcentral